Molecule: ribosomal RNA, 497 nt
Filed under: uncultured bacterium
Lineage: Bacteria
Description: partial 16S ribosomal RNA
Rfam family: Bacterial small subunit ribosomal RNA
Source: RNAcentral
GAUGAACGCUGGCGGCGUGCCUAAUACAUGCAAGUCGAGCGAACGGACGAGAAGCUUGCUUCUCUGAUGUUAGCGGCGGACGGGUGAGUAACACGUGGAUAACCUACCUAUAAGACUUGGAUAACUUCGGGAAACCGGAGCUAAUACCGGAUAAUAUUUUGAACCGCAUGGUUCAAAAGUGAAUGACGGUCUUGCUGUCACUUAUAGAUGGAUCCGCGCUGCAUUAGCUAGUUGGUAAGGUAAUGGUUUACCAAGGCAACGAUGCAUAGCCGACCUGAGAGGGUGAUCGGCCACACUGGAACUGAGACACGGGCCAGACUCCUACGGGAGGCAGCAGUAGGGAAUCUUCCGCAAUGGGCGAAAGCCUGACGGAGCAACGCCGCGUGAGUGAUGAAGGUCUUCGGAUCGUAAAACUCUGUUAUUAGGGAAGAACAUAUGUGUAAGUAACUGUGCACAUCUUGACGGUACCUAAUCAGAAAGCCACGGCUAACUACGUG